AGACUGAUAAAGAAAGAUAAAUUAACUUAGGUUCAUGCACGCACAUAUACAACUCUUUGAAAUAGCGGCAGAGAAAACGAAACCGAAAGUAAACUGGAACCGCUCUGACAGAGUCUGCACAUGCACAACUACGUCACGCGCACAUUGACAAGACUGCCCUUACAAACAAAGAAGGAAUUUAGUACAGUUAAUGUGAGUGGGAACUAUUAAUUAUUGCUGUCUUUACAGGAGAAGAUGCCAGACUUUUGUCCAGUCUACAGAUUCUCCAAUCGCCGUCGUCUCAAAACGAGAGCCCGUGGAUCACCUUUCACCUAAUGUUUCUUUUCUUCUGGAGCGAGGACUUUGACAGAACGGGGCAGAAUGUGCCAAACAACUUUCCAGCUCUUCUUCAAAGGGUCUGUGUAUCAUCGACCAACAAUAAUUCAAGAGCAACAACAUGCGACAGAAGCUCAAUAAAACCGUCCUUUUCAAAGAGCAUUAGCCCUUUUUAUCUCUGUCCUUCACAGUAGUGUAGUUCUCUCUACAGGGAGGGGAUUUCAACAUGCAGCAUUUCUUUAUGUAUAUUUGUAAAGGGGAAUCUUGUACCUAUUUUUAUUUGCAAAUAAAUAUAACUUUUAUAAUAGUUUAUAAAU
Molecule: long non-coding RNA, 632 nt
Organism: Carassius auratus (goldfish)
Lineage: Eukaryota; Metazoa; Chordata; Actinopteri; Cypriniformes; Cyprinidae
Exons: 3
Source: RefSeq, a predicted model, not a curated record